RNAcentral lists this ribosomal RNA (440 nucleotides) under uncultured bacterium. RNAcentral's name for it is "partial 16S ribosomal RNA". It matches the Rfam family "Bacterial small subunit ribosomal RNA", at positions 339 to 795 of the family's 1533-position model. The record is from RNAcentral.
CUACGGGUGGCAGCAGUAGGGAAUUUUCCACAAUGGGGGCAACCCUGAUGGAGCAACGCCGCGUGCAGGAUGAAUGCCUUCGGGUUGUAAACUGCUUUUAUAUGUGACGAAUAUGACGGUAGCAUAUGAAUAAGGAUCGGCUAACUCCGUGCCAGCAGCCGCGGUCAUACGGAGGAUCCAAGCGUUAUCCGGAAUUACUGGGCGUAAAGAGUUGCGUAGGUGGCAGAGUAUGUCUGUAGUGAAAGCGUGUGGCUCAACCAUAUACACAUUACAGAAACUGCUCAGCUAGAGGACGAGAGAGGUUAUUGGAAUUCCUAGUGUAGGAGUGAAAUCCGUAGAUAUUAGGAGGAACACCGAUGGCGUAGGCAGAUAACUGGCUCGUUCCUGACACUAAGGCACGAAAGCGUGGGGAGCAAACGGGAUUAGAUACCCUGGUAGUC